UUUUUCUUUGGGAUUCUUAACUUGAUAAUGGUAAAGCUAUUAAUUCAACUUGAAUACAGUGUUUCACUGUGUAUUUUAUACUCAUAGAACAUAUGCUCUUUAGCAAUCAAUAUUAAAUUCCUGAUCAACUUAAUCUGAGAGGCCUAACUGUUUACAGAUAAAGUCCUAUGAAAAUGCUGAGAAGAUGGGUAAAUAAUUUUAUCAUCCAGAAUACAGGUAAACAUUUUGAUGUUAAAACAUGCCAUUAUUUGAAAAAAAAAAAAAAAGCCAAUAAUCCAAGUUUCCCAAUACCAGAACAGAUGCUCAUACCUCUUCUCUUCUGCUUACAAGCAUUUGUUUUUCCCUGCUGUGUUGACUGUAGUGGCCCAGACCUAAGUCUGACUUAGAUGGUGAAAAACUAUCAGUGAAAUGUUUCUGUAUUUGGGCUUAAUAGGCACCAUUUGACUUAAGCUCUGACCUUCACUUGAUGAAAACUAAUACUUUUUUCAUACACAAAAAAGCCAACCUUCCACUUGCAUAUUUAGGUAUCUUAAGGUUCAAGAGUUGUAAAGUAGUACACUGAGGAGUGACACAUCACAAAAAGAGUUAGUUACAAAAUUAAAGGUAAAGUAAAGACAAAUUUAUAUUUUCUUAAAUGGAAUUGCUGGUUGGCAAGUUAGGCACGACUGUCUGCUGUCUAAACAGAGGUUGGUUCAUACUCACAAAGAUUGCUCUAAACACAGAUGUCAGUCUUGGGAACAGACACAAAUACAAAAAUCCUUCGAAACAGCUGGCUAUAGACAUGCAGGUUGGACUGUAGUAAAGGGUGCCCUAGUGUAAGUAGAGGAUAUUUCUAGGUUACUGCAAGUAAACUAGUUUCUAGUUUACAUUGAACAAGACUACAGAAAAUACAAGACUACAGAAAAUUAACAGGAUGAUAGACUGUGAAUAACACAGGACUUUACAACAACUACAGCUUCAACUGUAGGAGUCACUGCCAUGUCUUCUAAAUGCUUAGUCUGGUUUACCUCCCUCAGAAGUCCAGCAGAGAGGAAUAUUCACAUUCAACAGCUGAGAUGAUUGCUGUUCUACAAGGCAAACGUUUGCCUUCCUACAUUUUAGCAGAAGAUAGUGGCUGGGUGGAGUAAAGGGUAGCACACCAUUUCAGAGGGCUUCUGUCAUGAAAAGUUUGUGAGUUUGAAUUUUUGUGCUAAACUUGUGCAAGUUAGUGGUAAGUGAACUAUACUGUAGUACUGAACUUGUGAACAAGAGUCCAACAAAGCUUUCAGAAAAAUUUUCCUGCCUAAUCUCUUAAAAAGAAGGCACUAUUAUCAGAAUUGUUUUGAUUUUUUUUUUAACCUUGAAGCUAAGUGUAAACUAGAAACUUAAUUUAGAAGGCCCAGGUGAAAUAUAUCAUUCUGUUUUCUGAGUAUAUUUAUGUUGCAGUAAAAAGGUGCCAGAAUAGGCACAAGGGUAGAUAGCAGCAUGGACUGGUUUUCAUCCUUCCCAUGUUCGGUGGCUUAGCUCCUCUUAAGUUUUUAAAACUAGGCUGGUAUUUCUGUUGUGCAUUGCUCAGGGGAGACAUCCAUCCUUGGCAGAGGACUGUUACUCAUGUACCAACAAUCCACAUAUACCAUUACUGUAGUAUGACUAUAGCCAACUUCAAAGUUACUACAUUUAUUGCUUGCUGAUUUCACUUUUAUAAUCAGAAGAAAGGAGAG
This is a long non-coding RNA of Neopelma chrysocephalum (saffron-crested tyrant-manakin), 1700 nucleotides long. RefSeq lists it as uncharacterized. The record is from RefSeq and is a predicted model, not a curated record. The transcript is spliced from 4 exons. Lineage: Eukaryota; Metazoa; Chordata; Aves; Passeriformes; Pipridae.